Molecule: ribosomal RNA, 505 nt
Filed under: Vibrio sp. 2SW2S23
Lineage: Bacteria; Pseudomonadati; Pseudomonadota; Gammaproteobacteria; Vibrionales; Vibrionaceae
Also listed under: 4 other names
Description: bacterial SSU rRNA
Rfam family: Bacterial small subunit ribosomal RNA
Source: RNAcentral
AGCCUGAUGCAGCCAUGCCGCGUGUGUGAAGAAGGCCUUCGGGUUGUAAAGCACUUUCAGUCGUGAGGAAGGUGGUAGUGUUAAUAGCUCCAUCAUUUGACGUUAGCGACAGAAGAAGCACCGGCUAACUCCGUGCCAGCAGCCGCGGUAAUACGGAGGGUGCGAGCGUUAAUCGGAAUUACUGGGCGUAAAGCGCAUGCAGGUGGUUUGUUAAGUCAGAUGUGAAAGCCCGGGGCUCAACCUCGGAAUAGCAUUUGAAACUGGCAGACUAGAGUACUGUAGAGGGGGGUAGAAUUUCAGGUGUAGCGGUGAAAUGCGUAGAGAUCUGAAGGAAUACCGGUGGCGAAGGCGGCCCCCUGGACAGAUACUGACACUCAGAUGCGAAAGCGUGGGGAGCAAACAGGAUUAGAUACCCUGGUAGUCCACGCCGUAAACGAUGUCUACUUGGAGGUUGUGGCCUUGAGCCGUGGCUUUCGGAGCUAACGCGUUAAGUAGACCGCCUGGG